RNAcentral lists this long non-coding RNA (263 nucleotides) under Theobroma cacao (cacao). RNAcentral describes it as "long non-coding RNA (TCAC_LNC000340)". The record is from RNAcentral. Lineage: Eukaryota; Viridiplantae; Streptophyta; Magnoliopsida; Malvales; Malvaceae.
CCUAGGGUUCCUUUGUAGUUGGAUUCUCUUCCAAUAGCUUCCAAAUCAAUGGAGUGAUUCCCUCUUUCUCUCUCUAAAAUGCCCAACUAGUGAGAGAAAGUAUGAAAACAAGAUAUUUCAAGGUUUUUGAAGUGAGAAGAUGAAAUAGCACAAGGGUUUAUGGAAGGGUGCACCAAAAGCAUGAAAAUUGGAGCUAGAGAGAGAAAGUUGUGGAAGUUUGAAAAUCAAGCUUCCAUGGAGUUUGAAGAAACGUGAGAGAGGAG